RNAcentral lists this long non-coding RNA (1305 nucleotides) under Gopherus agassizii (Agassiz's desert tortoise). RNAcentral describes it as "lncRNA (ENSGAGG00000010819.1)". The record is from RNAcentral. Lineage: Eukaryota; Metazoa; Chordata; Testudines; Testudinidae.
UGUUUUUACUGCAACUAUCAGCCUACGGGCCCCCAAAACUGCCAAGCAAGGCAGGGAAAAAAAAACACCUCUAAAAAUACAAUUCAUGCAACAACAAUCAUAAUAAAAAAAGCAAACUAACUCGGAAUCCCCUCUCCAAAACGGGAUAGGGGGGAGGGGAUACUGGCAGGGUGAGAGCAGCUGUUCAGUGGCAGAGGCAGCUUCCAGCACCACAGCAGCGUUUAUAUGGCUGUUUAUGCCCAAAUCACCCUCAGGAGGGUCAAUAUAUCCGUAAAGAGUCCAGUCUCAGUCAGUCCAGAUGAAAGUCUAGUUCUCCCAGCAGCCGCCGCCGGGGAGGAGAAGAAACGCAUCUUUCAGUCGUAUGGGUCGGAUUCCUCUGUAGAGAGGAGCAGGAAGGGGUCCCCCUUGUUUCGCUCGAAAACACCCCUCCCCUUCACAACUUCGCCUCAGCGAGCGCAAUCUCUGGAGCAGAUUAAAGAUCCUCUGGGUAGCGGUUUGUUUUGCAAAGUCCGGGGCUUACACCCCAAAACACACGCCUCUUCUCCCCCCGCCAAAAACACAGCCCAGCCCCAAAAUCAGCGCCGAAGCUGCUGCUUCUGCUUAUGCGUGAGGAGGCUGGCGACCCCAUUCAGUCCCAUCUCGUUAGGAAGAGAAAGUGCCAUUUCAACACAAAAUACAACCAGACAGCAGCAGGAGGGAAAGCAGCCCAAGUGGGGAAGGAACAUCCUCUCUUCCUCCUCCUCCUCCUCCUCCUCAUUCCAGUCGGGAAAGGCGCCGAGGCCAACAGCAAAGCCCCCUCCCGUGCCCCAGGCUGAAGGCGGGUCUGGGGCUGCCUGGCUGACUUCUCUUCCUCCGGCUGCUUCUCGGAGUUUCGGAGCGCCCCAAACCCAAACAAGCGGCGGUGUCUGUGUUUAUGAGUCCAGCCCCCUCCAGCCGCCACCGAGACUCAGUCUCACUCCAAGGAGAGAAACACGUGACGGCGCCAGUGCGUGGACCAUCCCAGCAGCAGCCGAGGGAGGCUCCAACCUAGCCUGGUGCCGCGGCAUUCCAAUCCGCCCCCUCCUCCCCGCCCGCCGCUCCUUUCAUUCAGUGCCGCUGCGGCUGCAAUUACCUUCGGGCCCUGAGCCGCUCGGCGCCCUGGGGGGCCGCCUUCCUAUUGGCAACGCGGUCUGUCCCUCAACUCCUCCACGGGGGGAGGUGCCCAGGCUAGGUUGAGGAGUGGAGCGUAGUAAAAAGGCGUAGACGCCAUUCACUGGCGUGUUAUUUAUAAACUAGGGGCUUGUGAGUGAAUCUCUGCAGUGUGGC